This 484-nucleotide ribosomal RNA is filed under the name uncultured bacterium. RNAcentral describes it as "partial 16S ribosomal RNA". It matches the Rfam family "Bacterial small subunit ribosomal RNA", at positions 30 to 507 of the family's 1533-position model. The record is from RNAcentral.
AUUGAACGCUGGCGGCAGGCCUAACACAUGCAAGUCGAGCGGAUGAGAGGAGCUUGCUCCUUGAUUUAGCGGCGGACGGGUGAGUAAUGCCUAGGAAUCUGCCUGGUAGUGGGGGAUAACGUUCCGAAAGGAACGCUAAUACCGCAUACGUCCUACGGGAGAAAGCAGGGGACCUUCGGGCCUUGCGCUAUCAGAUGAGCCUAGGUCGGAUUAGCUAGUUGGUGAGGUAAUGGCUCACCAAGGCGACGAUCCGUAACUGGUCUGAGAGGAUGAUCAGUCACACUGGAACUGGGACGCGGUCCAGACUCCUACGGGAGGCAGCAGUGGGGAAUAGUGGACAAUGGGCGAAAGCCUGAUCCAGCCAUGCCGCGUGUGUGAAGAAGGUCUUCGGAUUGUAAAGCACUUUAAGUUGGGAGGAAGGGCAGUAAGCUAAUACCUUGCUGUUUUGACGUUACCGACAGAAUAAGCACCGGCUAACUUCGUG